GUCCUACGGGAGGCAGCAGUGGGGGAUAUUGCACAAUGGGCGAAAGCCUGAUGCAGCGACGCCGCGUGAGUGAAGAAGUAUUUCGGUAUGUAAAGCUCUAUCAGCAGGGAAGAAAAUGACGGUACCUGACUAAGAAGCCCCGGCUAACUACGUGCCAGCAGCCGCGGUAAUACGUAGGGGGCAAGCGUUAUCCGGAUUUACUGGGUGUAAAGGGAGCGUAGACGGCUGUGCAAGUCUGAAGUGAAAUGCCGGGGCUCAACCCCGGAACUGCUUUGGAAACUGUACAGCUAGAGUGCAGGAGGGGG
This 305-nucleotide ribosomal RNA is filed under the name uncultured bacterium. RNAcentral's name for it is "bacterial SSU rRNA". It matches the Rfam family "Bacterial small subunit ribosomal RNA", at positions 335 to 658 of the family's 1533-position model. The record is from RNAcentral.